Molecule: ribosomal RNA, 952 nt
Filed under: Azorella nitens
Lineage: Eukaryota; Viridiplantae; Streptophyta; Magnoliopsida; Apiales; Apiaceae
Description: eukaryotic LSU rRNA
Rfam family: 5.8S ribosomal RNA (bases 511-666)
Source: RNAcentral
GGCGGUUCGCUGCCCGCGACGUCGAAAGAAGUCCACUGAACCUUAUCAUUUAGAGGAAGGAGAAGUCGUAACAAGGUUUCCGUAGGUGAACCUGCGGAAGGAUCAUUGCCAUGCCUAUGGUGCACGACCCGUGAACAAGUAAAAAACAUCAGGGGAUCGCGGCGGGCAGCGUUAGCUAUUCCGUUGACAAAACGUCACCUAUCCAGGGUCUACGUCGAUAAAACGUCGGUCUUUUAAUGGGUUUGGUGCCGUCGGUGGACAACGAGAGUUGUCCACUCGACAACGUUGUACGUCUGGGAUCUACGCUUGGGGUAUAGCCGGAUGUGCCGUUGGCGGGCAGCUCUUGUUGUCCUGUCGCGUWUCCCUGGUCGGACGGUCCCCCGAUCUUCGGGGUGUCCCCCGACCAACUCACCCACCCCGGCGCGGAAUGCGCCAAGGAAAAUCAAACUGAACUGCGUCGUCCCUCCCGUUUGCGGGCUGGUGCGUCGUCUAUUUCUAGAAAACACAAACGACUCUCGGCAACGGAUAUCUCGGCUCUCGCAUCGAUGAAGAACGUAGCGAAAUGCGAUAUUUGGUGUGAAUUGCAGAAUCCCGUGAACCAUCGAGUUUUUGAACGCAAGUUGCGCCCGAGGCCUUCUGGCCGAGGGCACGUCUGCUUGGGCGUCACGCUCUAUGCGCCCCCACCAAACCCCACGUAUGUGUCGGUGCUGGCGGAGGGCGGAAGUUGGCCUCCCGUGCCUCGUUGCACGGYUGGCCCAAAUGCGAGUCCUUGGCGGCGGAUACGUCACGACAAGUGGUGGUUGUCUCUUUGUCACUUAUCACGUCGUGCUGUGGUUCGUCGUUGGUGGGAGCCUCACGUGACCCUAUUUGCGUGCCACUCUUUUGUGUGCUUGCAACACUUGCGACCCCAAGUCAGGCGGGACUACCCGCUGAGUUUAAGCAUAUCAAUAAG